GAUGAACGCUAGCUACAGGCUUAACACAUGCGAGUCGCGGGGCAGCAUGGGGGUUGCUUGCAACCCCUGAUGGGGACCGGCGCACGGGUGAGUAACGCGUAUCCAACCUGCCCUUCACCACGGGAUAACCCGGCGAAAGUCGGACUAAUACCGUAUGUUGUCCAUUGACGGCGUCCGAGUUGGACGAGAGGCUUGGGGGUGGAAGGGUGGGGAAGCGUCUGAUUAGCUUGACGGUGGGGUAACGGCCCACCGGGGCUACGAUGGGUAGGGGUUCUGAGAGGAAGGUCCCUCACACUGGGACUGAGACCAUGGCCAGACUCCUACGGGCGGCAGCAGUGAGGAAUAUUGGUCAAUGGGCGUAAGCCUGAACCAGCCAAGUAGCGUGCAGGAUGACGGCCCUAUGGGUUGUAAACUGCUUUUAUGCGGGGAUAAAGUGGCCCACGUGUGGGCUUUUGCAGGUACCGCAUGAAUAAGGACCGGCUAAUUCCGUG
This 491-nucleotide ribosomal RNA is filed under the name uncultured bacterium. RNAcentral's name for it is "partial 16S ribosomal RNA". It matches the Rfam family "Bacterial small subunit ribosomal RNA", at positions 28 to 507 of the family's 1533-position model. The record is from RNAcentral.